UGCUUGCAUCAUGAUUUACAUUUGAGUGAGUGGCGAACUGGUGAGUAACACGUGGGAAACCUGCCCAGAAGCGGGGGAUAACACCUGGAAACAGAUGCUAAUACCGCAUAACAACUUGGACCGCAUGGUCCGAGUUUGAAAGAUGGCUUCGGCUAUCACUUUUGGAUGGUCCCGCGGCGUAUUAGCUAGAUGGUGGGGUAACGGCUCACCAUGGCAAUGAUACGUAGCCGACCUGAGAGGGUAAUCGGCCACAUUGGGACUGAGACACGGCCCAAACUCCUACGGGAGGCAGCAGUAGGGAAUCUUCCACAAUGGACGAAAGUCUGAUGGAGCAACGCCGCGUGAGUGAAGAAGGGUUUCGGCUCGUAAAACUCUGUUGUUAAAGAAGAACAUAUCUGAGAGUAACUGUUCAGGUAUUGACGGUAUUUAACCAGAAAGCCACGGCUAACUACGUGCCAGCAGCCGCGGUAAUACGUAGGUGGCAAGCGUUGUCCGGAUUUAUUGGGCGUAAAGCGAGCGCAGGCGGUUUUUUAAGUCUGAUGUGAAAGCCUUCGGCUCAACCGAAGAAGUGCAUCGGAAACUGGGAAACUUGAGUGCAGAAGAGGACAGUGGAACUCCAUGU
This 622-nucleotide ribosomal RNA is filed under the name Lactiplantibacillus plantarum. Its description in RNAcentral is "bacterial SSU rRNA". It matches the Rfam family "Bacterial small subunit ribosomal RNA", at positions 65 to 674 of the family's 1533-position model. The record is from RNAcentral. Lineage: Bacteria; Bacillati; Bacillota; Bacilli; Lactobacillales; Lactobacillaceae.